Salvelinus fontinalis (brook trout) is the source of this 470-nucleotide long non-coding RNA. RefSeq lists it as uncharacterized. The transcript is spliced from 3 exons. Lineage: Eukaryota; Metazoa; Chordata; Actinopteri; Salmoniformes; Salmonidae. The record is from RefSeq and is a predicted model, not a curated record.
UACUGUCAGUAUUACCUGUAUAGGUAGCAGUAGGUUACUGUCAGUAGUACCUGUAUAGGUAGCAGUAGGUUACUGUCAGUAUUACCUGUAUAGGUAGCAGUAGGUUACUGUCAGUAGUACCUGUAUAGGUAGGUUACUGUCAGUAUUACCUGUAUAGGUAGCAGUAGGUUACUGUCAGUAGUACCUGUAUAGGUAGCAGUAGGUUACUGUCAGUAUUACCUGUAUAGGUAGCAGUAGGUUACUGUCAGUAGUACCUGUAUAGGUAGCAGUAGGUUACUGUCAGUAUUACCUGUAUAGGUAGCAGUAGGUUACUGUCAGUAGUACCUGUAUAGGUAGGUUACUGUCAGUAUUACCUGUAUAGGUAGCAGUAGGUUACUGUCAGUAUUACCUGUAUAGGUAGCAGUAGGUUACUGUCAGUAGUACCUGUAUAGGUAGCAGUAGGUUACUGUCAGUAUUACCUGUAUAGGUAG